Molecule: long non-coding RNA, 234 nt
Filed under: Cicer arietinum (chickpea)
Lineage: Eukaryota; Viridiplantae; Streptophyta; Magnoliopsida; Fabales; Fabaceae
Description: long non-coding RNA (CARI_LNC003745)
Source: RNAcentral
AAAAUACAUUACGCAUAGAGGCUGAGAAAGAAUUUAAAUAAAUUCAUUCGAAUAAUCGAAAAAUUAAAUUAUAUACUAGAGGUUUUCAUCAAGGUUUACUCAUUCCUAACAAAAAAAUUUUAGCUACUUAUGAAAAUAAACAAGAACUAAAGAAUAAAGAGAAAUUAAAAGAGUUCUCCAUGAAAUAUUCUUGAUGAAAUAGCUUUGUAGAUGUUCAGCACGUUAAUAUUUGCU